This is a non-coding RNA of Danionella cerebrum, 82 nucleotides long. The record is from the annotation of a GenBank genome assembly. NCBI's taxonomy places the organism in Eukaryota, Metazoa, Chordata, Actinopteri, Cypriniformes, Danionidae.
GUUGUUGUGGCUGAGUGGUUAAGGCAAUGGACUUGAAAUCCAUUUGGGUUUAUCCGCAUUGGUUUAAAUCCUGCCAAUCAUG